GGAAUCUUGAUCAAUGGGCGGAAGCCUGAACCAGCGAUGCCGCGUGAGUGAUGAAGGCCUUCGGGUUGUAAAGCUCUGUGGGGCGGGACGAAAGACUCGAGGUCUAAUAGGCUUUGAGGUUGACGGUACCGCCUUAGCAAGCACCGGCUAACCCUGUGCCAGCAGCCGCGGUAAGACAGAGGGUGCAAACGUUGCUCGGAAUCACUGGGCGUAAAGGGCGUGUAGGCGGGAAGGAAAGUCAGAUGUGAAAUCCCCAGGCUCAACCUGGGAACUGCAUUUGAAACUCCCUUUGUUGAGUGCCGGAGAGGAAAGCGGAAUCCCUGGUGUAGAGGUGAAAUUCGUAGAUAUCAGGAGGAACACCAGUGGCGAAGGCGGCUUUCUGGACGGUAACUGACGCUGAGACGCGAAAGCGUGGGGAGC
RNAcentral lists this ribosomal RNA (420 nucleotides) under uncultured bacterium. Its description in RNAcentral is "bacterial SSU rRNA". It matches the Rfam family "Bacterial small subunit ribosomal RNA", at positions 358 to 769 of the family's 1533-position model. The record is from RNAcentral.